AACGAACGCUGGCGGCAGGCCUAACACAUGCAAGUCGAACGCCCCGCAAGGGGAGUGGCAGACGGGUGAGUAACGCGUGGGAACGUACCUUUCGGUUCGGAAUAACCCGGGGAAACUCGGGCUAAUACCGGAUACGUCCUGCCCCUUAAACAAGGGUGGGAGAAAGAUUUAUCGCCGAAAGAUCGGCCCGCGUCGGAUUAGCUAGUUGGUGAGGUAACGGCCCACCAAGGCGACGAUCCGUAGCUGGUCUGAGAGGAUGANCA
Molecule: ribosomal RNA, 263 nt
Filed under: uncultured bacterium
Lineage: Bacteria
Description: partial 16S ribosomal RNA
Rfam family: Bacterial small subunit ribosomal RNA
Source: RNAcentral